RNAcentral lists this long non-coding RNA (688 nucleotides) under Androctonus crassicauda. The record is from RNAcentral. Lineage: Eukaryota; Metazoa; Arthropoda; Arachnida; Scorpiones; Buthidae.
UCAAAUUUUAACAACCAAAGAUUAAUUCAACUUUUGUCACCAAGAAGUACAAGGAAUCCAUUUCUUUUACGUCUCCAGCGAAGAAGUAGAAGCUGAAAGGAUUCUACAAGAAAAAUGAUUUGAAAAUGACCACACAGUUGCUGGAACACGAGAAAAUCACCAUUUUUUGCCUAUCAAUUUCAAGCAUAUUCAAGUUAGCAGGGUGUCAAAUGACACAACCUCUUUUAUUGCCACAGUUGAUCAAUCUGAAGCAGGUCCUGUCACACCAGUUCAGAGUCUUAGUCCUGGUCAAUACAUUGCCUGCGUCUAUGAUAACCACUAGUAUAUCGGCAACAUAUGUCAAGUUUCUAUUGAACAAAAUGAUGCAGAAAUCAAAUUCAUGAGCCCUUCUGGACCAGCUCACUCCUUUUCUUGGCCUGAAAGAGAAGAAAUAUGUUAGGUUCCUGAACAACAUAUUAUCAUGCAUAUUCCAGCUCCUAUAACCAGAACAGGGCGACAGUAUAAUUUACCAGAAACUCUAUUGCAAAGCAUUCAGGAACAGUUUAAUUCCAUGAUGCAAUGAUUGUGAAUAGAACAGGCUUGGGAACCAAGAUGAAGAAACCCAACUGAGGCUUUGGAACCUAGACAAAGAAACCAACAAUGAGGCUUGGGAUCCUUGAGAAAAUUUCCAACCCGUGGCUGGACCUGC